CUUACUGUCAUCUUGCUUUUCAUUAUUUUGUGUAAUGCCUUCUUUAAAUUUGCUUCAUCCACCACACCUGAAAGCACAUCACACCAAAGACCAAACCACC
Molecule: long non-coding RNA, 100 nt
Organism: Limulus polyphemus (Atlantic horseshoe crab)
Lineage: Eukaryota; Metazoa; Arthropoda; Merostomata; Xiphosura; Limulidae
Exons: 3
Source: RefSeq, a predicted model, not a curated record